This 119-nucleotide ribosomal RNA is filed under the name Pelobates cultripes (western spadefoot toad). Lineage: Eukaryota; Metazoa; Chordata; Amphibia; Anura; Pelobatidae. The record is from RNAcentral.
GCCUAUGGCCAUACCACCCUGAACACGCCCGAUCUCGUCUGAUCUCGGAAGCUAAGCAGGGUCGGGCCUGGUUAGUACUUGGAUGGGAGAGCGCCUGGGAAUACCAGGUGUUGUAGGCU